UCCUACGGGAGGCAGCAGUGGGGAAUAUUGCGCAAUGGGCGAAAGCCUGACGCAGCGACGCCGCGUGAGGGAUGAAGGUCUUCGGAUCGUAAACCUCUGUCAGCAGGGAAGAACGGUCACUGUGCUAAUCAGCAGUGAAUUGACGGUACCUGCAAAGGAAGCACCGGCUAACUCCGUGCCAGCAGCCGCGGUAAUACGGAGGGUGCGAGCGUUAUCCGGAUUUAUUGGGUUUAAAGGGUGCGCAGGCGGUCUGUUAAGUCAGCGGUCAAAGCCCGGGGCUCAACCCCGGCCCGCCGUUGAAACUG
RNAcentral lists this ribosomal RNA (305 nucleotides) under uncultured bacterium. Its description in RNAcentral is "bacterial SSU rRNA". It matches the Rfam family "Bacterial small subunit ribosomal RNA", at positions 337 to 635 of the family's 1533-position model. The record is from RNAcentral.